This 433-nucleotide ribosomal RNA is filed under the name uncultured bacterium. RNAcentral's name for it is "partial 16S ribosomal RNA". It matches the Rfam family "Bacterial small subunit ribosomal RNA", at positions 29 to 507 of the family's 1533-position model. The record is from RNAcentral.
AACGAACGCUGGCGGCAUGCCUAACACAUGCAAGUCGAACGAGACCUUCGGGCCUAGUGGCGCACGGGUGCGUAACGCGUGGGAACCUGCCCUUAAGUUCGGAAUAACUCCCCGAAAGGGGUCCUAAUACCGGUUAAUGUCUUAGGACCAAAGAUUUAUCGCCUUUGGCUGGGCCCGCGUUGGUUUAGCCAGUUGGUAGGGUAAAAGCGUACCAAGGCGACGAUCCAUAGCUGGUCUGUGAAGAUGAUCCGCCACACUGGAACUGAGACACGGCCCAGACUCGUACGGGAGGCAGCAGUAGGGAAUAUUGGAGAAUGAGCGAAAGCGUGAUCCAGCAAUGCCGCGGGAGUGAUGAAGGCCUUAGGGUUGUAAAGCUCUUUUACCCGGAAUGAUAAUGACGGUACCGGGAGAAUAAGCGCCGGCUAACUCCGUG